CCUACGGGUGGCAGCAGUGGGGAAUAUUGGACAAUGGGCGAAAGCCUGAUCCAGCCAUGCCGCGUGUGUGAAGAAGGCCUUCGGGUUGUAAAGCACUUUCAGUGGGGAAGAAAGCCUUGGGGCUAAUACCCUCGAGGAAGGACAUUACCCACAGAAGAAGCACCGGCUAACUCCGUGCCAGCAGCCGCGGUAAUACGGAGGGUGCGAGCGUUAAUCGGAAUUACUGGGCGUAAAGCGCGCGCAGGCGGUCUGAUAAGCCGGUUGUGAAAGCCCCGGGCUCAACCUGGGAACGGCAUCCGGAACUGUCAGGCUAGAGUGCAGGAGAGGAAGGUAGAAUUCCCGGUGUAGCGGUGAAAUGCGUAGAGAUCGGGAGGAAUACCAGUGGCGAAGGCGGCCUUCUGGACUGACACUGACGCUGAGGUGCGAAAGCGUGGGUAGCAAACAGGAUUAGAUACCCUUGUAGUC
Molecule: ribosomal RNA, 465 nt
Filed under: Vreelandella stevensii
Lineage: Bacteria; Pseudomonadati; Pseudomonadota; Gammaproteobacteria; Oceanospirillales; Halomonadaceae
Description: partial 16S ribosomal RNA
Rfam family: Bacterial small subunit ribosomal RNA
Source: RNAcentral